UGGGGAAUAUUGCACAAUGGAGGGAACUCUGAUGCAGCGACGCCGCGUGAACGAAGAAGGCUUUCGAGUCGUAAAGUUCUUUUAUAUGGGAAGAUAAUGACGGUACCAUAAGAAAAAGCCCCGGCUAACUACGUGCCAGCAGCCGCGGUAAUACGUAGGGGGCUAGCGUUGUCCGGAAUCACUGGGCGUAAAGGGUUCGCAGGCGGAAAUGCAAGUCAGGUGUAAAAGGCAGUAGCUUAACUACUGUAAGCAUUUGAAACUGCAUAUCUUGAAAAGAAUAGAGGUAGGUGGAAUUUUUAGUGUAGCAGUGAAAUGCAUAGAUAUUAAAAAGAAUUCCGGUGGCGAAGACUACUUACUGGGCUAAUUCUGACGCUGAGGAACGAAAGCGGGAGUAGCAAACAGG
Molecule: ribosomal RNA, 403 nt
Filed under: Verrucomicrobiota bacterium
Lineage: Bacteria; Pseudomonadati; Verrucomicrobiota
Description: Verrucomicrobia bacterium partial 16S ribosomal RNA
Rfam family: Bacterial small subunit ribosomal RNA
Source: RNAcentral